RNAcentral lists this ribosomal RNA (448 nucleotides) under uncultured bacterium. Its description in RNAcentral is "partial 16S ribosomal RNA". It matches the Rfam family "Bacterial small subunit ribosomal RNA", at positions 330 to 794 of the family's 1533-position model. The record is from RNAcentral.
GCCAGACUCCUACGGGAGGCAGCAGUGGGGGAUAUUGCACAAUGGGGGGAACCCUGAUGCAGCGACGCCGCGUGGGUGAAGGAGCGUUUCGGCGCGUAAAGCCCUAUCGGCAGGGAAGAAGGAGGACGGUACCUGACUAAGAAGCCCCGGCUAACUACGUGCCAGCAGCCGCGGUAAUACGUAGGGGGCAAGCGUUAUCCGGAUUUACUGGGUGUAAAGGGGGCGCAGACGGCAGCGCAAGCCAGGAGUGAAAGCCCGGGGCCCAACCCCGGGACUGCUCUUGGAACUGGGCGGCUGGAGUGCAGGAGGGGCAGGCGGAAUUCCUGGUGUAGCGGUGAAAUGCGUAGAUAUCAGGAGGAACACCGGUGGCGAAGGCGGCCUGCUGGACUGCGACUGACGUUGAGGCCCGAAAGCGUGGGGAGCAAACAGGAUUAGAUACCCCCGUACU